GUUUUUAAUAAGCAAUGGAUUUAGUUCCCUCUCUUAACAUCUAACGUGAACUCUGCCGCAUCCACCGCAAGCAUCAGCGCCGCCGCCGCCCUGAAGCCUCAGAAAGUUGUUGCUCUUUUCGCUGCUCAAACCUGCCAUACCACUCCAUCGGCUGCUGCUGAUUGCUACUUUCGUGUGCACUUGGCUUCUAUUUUCUCAGGGGCUCGAGAAGAUGGCAACUGGAGCUGGACUAGAGACUCUUGUUGAUCAAACAAUUUCAAUUAUCACAAAUGAUGGGCGGAAUAUUGUGGGAAUUCUAAAAGGUUUCGAUCAAGCAACCAACAUAAUUCUUGAUGAGUCUCAUGAACGUGUGUACUCCACAAAGAAGCAUUGUUGGCGAGUUGGAUGAAGAGCUAGAUGCAAGCUUGGACUUAUCGAAACUUAGAGCUCAUCCUUUGAAGCCAGUCAUUCACUGAUGUGUGCCAUUGCGAAUACAUAAGCAAAUGCCUUAAAGCUGUUGAGCUUUGCUUGUAAGAAUGAUAGUUUAGCUAGAAGCAGGAGAGGUAAAAUGUGGAUGUUUGAUCGAUAUUAUUUGAUAAAUACCAUUGUUCUCAUUCAUGUUUGCUUUGCGGUUGUAUGGUGACCUUCACAAUUUGGGUUUGCUGCCAUGAUUUAAAGGAAUGAAGAAGUAAAUGUCCAUUCAGAUGUGUA
Long non-coding RNA from Salvia splendens (bonfire salvia), 690 nucleotides. RefSeq lists it as uncharacterized. The record is from RefSeq and is a predicted model, not a curated record. Lineage: Eukaryota; Viridiplantae; Streptophyta; Magnoliopsida; Lamiales; Lamiaceae. The transcript has 5 exons.